GGGCGGCUAGCUCAGCUGGUUAGAGCGCGUCACUGAUAAUGACGAGGUCCCAGGUUCAAGUCCUGGGUCGCCCACCA
RNAcentral lists this transfer RNA (77 nucleotides) under Alphaproteobacteria bacterium. RNAcentral's name for it is "tRNA-Ile". It matches the Rfam family "tRNA". From Rfam's summary of the family: Transfer RNA (tRNA) molecules are approximately 80 nucleotides in length. Lineage: Bacteria; Pseudomonadati; Pseudomonadota; Alphaproteobacteria. The record is from RNAcentral.